AUCCCAAGAUAAUGACAGGCAGCCACGUACUCCUGCAGACACUCUCAUGCUUCAGGAAUAGACUCAUCUCUUGUCUACUGGAAACUUGAAAUCCUUCCACAAAGGGC
This 107-nucleotide small nucleolar RNA is filed under the name Oryza glumipatula. RNAcentral's name for it is "Plant small nucleolar RNA R71". It matches the Rfam family "Plant small nucleolar RNA R71". Rfam says of the family: R71 is a member of the C/D box family of snoRNAs containing the C (UGAUGA) and D (CUGA) box motifs. Multiple nearly identical copies of this snoRNA have been identified in Arabidopsis, and it is thought to function as a 2'-O-ribose methylation guide for 18S ribosomal RNA. The record is from Rfam by way of RNAcentral. Lineage: Eukaryota; Viridiplantae; Streptophyta; Magnoliopsida; Poales; Poaceae.